Molecule: unclassified non-coding RNA, 999 nt
Filed under: Hevea brasiliensis (rubber tree)
Lineage: Eukaryota; Viridiplantae; Streptophyta; Magnoliopsida; Malpighiales; Euphorbiaceae
Source: RNAcentral
CUUAAUUCAUGUGGAACAAAAGAUUUAUCCGAUGAGAGUAAUGAUCAAAGUGGGAUUUAUGGCUCUCUUAAUUUUGAUGUUGGCAAUGGGGGUAGUGCCGUAAUUGAUCCUUCGGUGUCAAAUGCCAUUUUGGACGAUCUCUGUACGUCAAAGGAUGUUGAUUUUCAGAAUCCUUCAAAUUGUCUGGUUGGCAACUUUAACUCGAGCCAGGAUGUUCAGUCUCAGAUUACUUCAGCAAGCCUGGCAGACUCGCAAGCUUUCUCACAGCAGGACUUUCCAGACAGCUCAGGUGGCACACCUUCUAGCAAUUUGGAUUUUGAGAAGGGCAAUUAUAUGCAGAAUAACUCAUGGCAGCAAGUUGCUCCACGAGUGCGAACAUACACAAAGGUUCAAAAGGCCGGCUCAGUUGGUAGAUCAAUAGAUGUCUCAAGUUUUAAAAACUAUGAAGAAAUAUGUUCUGCAAUUGAAUGCAUGUUCGGACUUGAGGGGCUGCUUAAUAAUCCAAGAGAGUCUGGGUGGAAGCUGGUAUACGUUGACUACGAGAAUGAUGUUCUACUUAUUGGAGAUGAUCCUUGGGAGGAAUUUGUUGGCUGUGUACGUUGCAUAAGGAUUCUGUCACCUUCAGAAGUUCAGCAGAUGAGCGAGGAGGGAAUGAAGCUUCUUAACAACCCUAAUAUCCAGGGCCUCGCUGCUUCCAUUACAGAAGGUGGCCGUGCUUGAGAUUGUGCUUGACAUUGAACAAUGGCGUUACCCAAAGCAACUUCUUUGAAUGGUGUAACAUCUCGAUCGACUCUUGCCAAGUUUACGAUUUACUGAUACCACAGUGACGGUGAGUGAUGUGGGCACUACUGUGUUAGAAUGGCUUUAGAUGUAAUCUAUGAAAUAUGAGAUGACAUUUGUUCACGUCAUGCAUGAGAUACUUUAUAAUAUCGUGUUGUACAAGCCCUUUUAGUUUGCUAUGUGGUGGUAAUUACAUAAUGGAUUUUUUUUUUCUUAGGU